CCUACGGGAGGCAGCAGUGAGGAAUAUUGGUCAAUGGACGAGAGUCUGAACCAGCCAAGUAGCGUGAAGGAUGACUGCCCUAUGGGUUGUAAACUUCUUUUAUAUGGGAAUAAAAUGUUCCACGUGUGGGAUUUUGUAUGUACCAUAUGAAUAAGGAUCGGCUAACUCCGUGCCAGCAGCCGCGGUAAUACGGAGGAUCCGAGCGUUAUCCGGAUUUAUUGGGUUUAAAGGGAGCGUAGGUGGAUUGUUAAGUCAGUUGUGAAAGUUUGCGGCUCAACCGUAAAAUUGCAGUUGAAACUGGCAGUCUUGAGUACAGUAGUGGUGGGCGGAAUUCGUGGUGUAGCGGUGAAAUGCUUAGAUAUCACGAAGAACUCCGAUUGCGAAGGCAGUUCACUGGACUGCAACUGACACUGAGGCUCGAAAGUGUGGGUAUCAAACAGGAUUAGAUACCCCAGUAGUC
Molecule: ribosomal RNA, 460 nt
Filed under: uncultured bacterium
Lineage: Bacteria
Description: partial 16S ribosomal RNA
Rfam family: Bacterial small subunit ribosomal RNA
Source: RNAcentral